Molecule: ribosomal RNA, 460 nt
Filed under: Saitozyma podzolica
Lineage: Eukaryota; Fungi; Basidiomycota; Tremellomycetes; Tremellales; Trimorphomycetaceae
Description: eukaryotic LSU rRNA
Rfam family: 5.8S ribosomal RNA (bases 24-177)
Source: RNAcentral
CGUCAUAUAUCAUAACAAAACAAAACUUUCAACAACGGAUCUCUUGGCUCUCGCAUCGAUGAAGAACGCAGCGAAAUGCGAUAAGUAAUGUGAAUUGCAGAAUUCAGUGAAUCAUCGAAUCUUUGAACGCACCUUGCGCCCUCUGGUAUUCCGGAGGGCAUGCCUGUUUGAGUGUCAUGUAGACUCAAUCCCUCGGGUUUCCGAGGAGAUUGGACUUGGGUGUUGCCGCUCUGCCGGCUCACCUUAAAAGACUUAGCGGGAUAGCACCGUAGUCGGCGUAAUAAGUUUCGUCGGUGAAGGUUGUGAUGACUGCUUACAAUCGGCCUUGGACAAUUUUUGACUCUGACCUCAAAUCAGGUAGGACUACCCGCUGAACUUAAGCAUAUCAAUAAGCGGAGGAAAAGAAACUAACAAGGAUUCCCUUAGUAGCGGCGAGCGAAGCGGGAAGAGCUCAAAUUUG